GCCUCCUAUAACAACAUCAAAGAUCAACUGCAAACAUCCCCGAAAUCCAGCUCUAAUGCUAUCCAAAACCAAGCCAAAGCAGCUAAAACAGUCCCUAAUAACACAGUUGUGUCGCACCUCGAAACAGUCCAAAUUUUCAGCUGAAAAUGCAGCAGCACAACCAUGGUAAAAGACCCAUAAACAGCUCCGUCUUUAGUCACUGCUAGCUUUCUCUUGGGUCGAGUAUCGGCAAGUAUCGUUAGAGGUUGCCGGCAUCGGUUGCGAUCCCUGUCGUUUUUCAAACAACAUUGUUGCUGUAAGUUUAUUCAAAGUGUUUGUUUAAUCAAAUUUGGAGAAACAACAACAAAUCAUGGUCCAUCCCUUCUUGAAGUUAUUAUUUCUUUAAUAUUGUGCCAGUGAUUAUUUUCUCUAGUUUGUCUUUUUUGUGCUCAAUUUAUUUCCCUUGAAUUGAUAUCUUAUAUUUAAAUGAUGAGAUUUCAUUGUUAGAUGUUAAUUAGCUUAGUGGCUUAAUGACUUAGUAUUUAAUUGAAUUAAAAGAAUAAGCUCCCCCCUCUCGGGGGGGGGGGGGGUUACUCAGUUAAAAUUGAGAAGAAUUGAUCUAACUGGUCUUUGGAAAAUAGUUGAAAAUGUGUUCUAUCAUGUAUUGGAUCGUAGGGUGAUAUCAAAAGAAUGAGAUCUGGGCCAAAUGAAUGUUGUUGGCCCAGUGUUGAUAGUUUGAAGCACAAAAGCUAGUCUACCUUUUCUAUAAUUAAUUUUCUUCGUUUUCUCCACAAUAAUAUCCAUACCUCAUGACUUUAUAACAACCUCAAAUUAGUUUAGGAAGAAUAAUGAACUCUGUUAGAGUGCUUUAGGCGCGUUUUUAAUUAGUUUAUCGCGAUUAUAUAUACAUUCGCAUGACAUAAUUGUGAUUUUCAAAAUCAAAACCUAAGUAUGUGUUCGCGCAACUUUGACCAAAACAAUAUUAAUAUAAAAAUGCUAUUAAUUGUGUACAUGUACGCGUGACAUGAUUUUGGCACAAUAAACAAAACAGAUUCACACAUGUGAUUCGUUCCAAAAAAAAUUAAAUAUUUUAAUAAUUAAAAGUGGAUAGAUAAAAUAAGGAAGCCAAUAAAUCCCAAUUUAUCCAAAAUUAAUUCAAGCCAAGUUGUAAUCAAUAAAGUUAUCGUGCUAGAACCACGGGGCUCGGGAAAUGCCUUACACCUUCUCCCCGGCCAACAGAAUUCUUUACCCGCACUUUAUUUUUCGCAGACCAAUAAUAACAAAGUCAAAUCUUCCUUUGUAUAGGGAUUCAAAUAAAAGGUGACUUGGAACAACCAAAAAUCAAAUUUCAAGUGGCGACUCUGAAUAAUAAAAUAAUCUCUACUUCAAAAAUGUC
RNAcentral lists this long non-coding RNA (1375 nucleotides) under Nicotiana tabacum (common tobacco). RNAcentral's name for it is "long non-coding RNA (NTAB_LNC000968)". The record is from RNAcentral. Lineage: Eukaryota; Viridiplantae; Streptophyta; Magnoliopsida; Solanales; Solanaceae.